AUGCACGCUGGCGGCGUGCCUAAUACAUGCAAGUCGAGCGAACAGAUAAGGAGCUUGCUCCUUUGACGUUAGCGGCGGACGGGUGAGUAACACGUGGGUAACCUACCUAUAAGACUGGGAUAACUUCGGGAAACCGGAGCUAAUACCGGAUAACAUUUGGAACCGCAUGGUUCUAAAGUGAAAGAUGGUUUUGCUAUCACUUAUAGAUGGACCCGCGCCGUAUUAGCUAGUUGGUAAGGUAACGGCUUACCAAGGCAACGAUACGUAGCCGACCUGAGAGGGUGAUCGGCCACACUGGAACUGAGACACGGUCCAGACUCCUACGGGAGGCAGCAGUAGGGAAUCUUCCGCAAUGGGCGAAAGCCUGACGGAGCAACGCCGCGUGAGUGAUGAAGGGUUUCGGCUCGUAAAACUCUGUUAUUAGGGAAGAACAAAUGUGUAAGUAACUGUGCACGUCUUGACGGUACCUAAUCAGAAAGCCACGGCUAACUACGUG
This 496-nucleotide ribosomal RNA is filed under the name uncultured bacterium. RNAcentral describes it as "partial 16S ribosomal RNA". It matches the Rfam family "Bacterial small subunit ribosomal RNA", at positions 29 to 507 of the family's 1533-position model. The record is from RNAcentral.